GUUGAUUAUUUUGAGGUCUGGUUGAAACAACCAACUAAUGCCUUGAAGAAAAAGAAUAUGGUAUGGAUUGCAAAGAUGCUCUCGUUAGGAGCUGCCACGGCGAAUCAUCUUUUUCUAUAACAAAUAAGCUUAAUAUUAUGGAUUUCUGGACUGGCACCUAUUGGAGGACGAGAUGCCUAGUGUGUCACUUGGAAUAUUCUUUCAUAUAU
Molecule: long non-coding RNA, 209 nt
Organism: Polypterus senegalus (gray bichir)
Lineage: Eukaryota; Metazoa; Chordata; Cladistia; Polypteriformes; Polypteridae
Exons: 3
Source: RefSeq, a predicted model, not a curated record